Molecule: transfer RNA, 66 nt
Filed under: human gut metagenome
Rfam family: tRNA
About the family: Transfer RNA (tRNA) molecules are approximately 80 nucleotides in length. Their secondary structure includes four short double-helical elements and three loops (D, anti-codon, and T loops).
Source: RNAcentral
ACUGUGGCUCAGCUGGCAGAGCAGCUGAUUCGUAAUCAGCAGGUCGCCGGUUCAAAUCCGGCCAGU